CACAGGUGGUCAGGUAGAGAAUACCAAGGCGCUUGAGAGAACUCGGGUGAAGGAACUAGGCAAAAUGGUGCCGUAACUUCGGGAGAAGGCACGCUGACACGUAGGUGAAGUGAUUUACUCAUGGAGCUGAAGUCAGUCGAAGAUACCAGCUGGCUGCAACUGUUUAUUAAAAACACAGCACUGUGCAAACACGAAAGUGGACGUAUACGGUGUGACGCCUGCCCGGUGCCGGAAGGUUAAUUGAUGGGGUCAGCGCAAGCGAAGCUCCUGAUCGAAGCCCCGGUAAACGGCGGCCGUAACUAUAACGGUCCUAAGGUAGCGAAAUUCCUUGUCGGGUAAGUUCCGACCUGCACGAAUGGCGUAAUGAUGGCCAGGCUGUCUCCACCCGAGACUCAGUGAAAUUGAACUCGCUGUGAAGAUGCAGUGUACCCGCGGCAAGACGGAAAGACCCCGUGAACCUUUACUAUAGCUUGACACUGAACAUUGAGCCUUGAUGUGUAGGAUAGGUGGGAGGCUUUGAAGUGUGGACGCCAGUCUGCAUGGAGCCGACCUUGAAAUACCACCCUUUAAUGUUUGAUGUUCUAACGUGGACCCGUUACCCGGGUUGCGGACAGUGUCUGGUGGGUAGUUUGACUGGGGCGGUCUCCUCCUAAAGAGUAACGGAGGAGCACGAAGGUUGGCUAAUCCUGGUCGGACAUCAGGAGGUUAGUGCAAUGGCAUAAGCCAGCUUGACUGCGAGCGUGACGGCGCGAGCAGGUGCGAAAGCAGGUCAUAGUGAUCCGGUGGUUCUGAAUGGAAGGGCCAUCGCUCAACGGAUAAAAGGUACUCCGGGGAUAACAGGCUGAUACCGCCCAAGAGUUCAUAUCGACGGCGGUGUUUGGCACCUCGAUGUCGGCUCAUCACAUCCUGGGGCUGAAGUAGGUCCCAAGGGUAUGGCUGUUCGCCAUUUAAAGUGGUACGCGAGCUGGGUUUAGAACGUCGUGAGACAGUUCGGUCCCUAUCUGCCGUGGGCGCUGGAGAACUGAGGGGGGCUGCUCCUAGUACGAGAGGACCGGAGUGGACGCAUCACUGGUGUUCGGGUUGUCAUGCCAAUGGCACUGCCCGGUAGCUAAAUGCGGAAGAGAUAAGUGCUGAAAGCAUCUAAGCACGAAACUUGCCCCGAGAUGAGUUCUCCCUGAGACUUAGAGUCUCCUGAAGGAACGUUGAAGACGACGACGUUGAUAGGCCGGGUGUGUAAGCGCAGCGAUGCGUUGAGCUAACCGGUACUAAUGAACCGUGAGGCUUAACCUUACAACGCCG
This 1299-nucleotide ribosomal RNA is filed under the name Salmonella enterica. RNAcentral describes it as "partial 23S ribosomal RNA". It matches the Rfam family "Bacterial large subunit ribosomal RNA", at positions 1658 to 2925 of the family's 2925-position model. Lineage: Bacteria; Pseudomonadati; Pseudomonadota; Gammaproteobacteria; Enterobacterales; Enterobacteriaceae. The record is from RNAcentral.